UCUAAUGAUUUUUGUAAUAUCAUUAUGAAUGAUAUCAAAAUCAUGUAGACAACUAAGAAAUAGUAUUUACGAAAGGUCAUAGUCUAUUAGUGUAAUGUACACAUUAAUCAAACUAAUUCCUUAAAGUAGAUAAUGUCACAAAUAUCUACCUUUGGCAAUUUAGGUUUGAUCGUUUAACAAGAAUAGGAUCAAUAAGAGAUAAUUCUCGAAGUUCAUGAUUAUGAAUCAUUGUCAACUUGUCAAUCCUAUCUCUUUAGUAAGAUGAUCGAAUCAUCUUUUUCUAAAACAGAUGAACGAGCCAAUGAUGUUCUGAAUCUAAUAUAUACUGAUGUGUUGUAUCUAUGAACAUGUUUGCUAUAAAUUUGGAUUAUUUAAAAUGUUCAAAUAAUUUUUUAAUAAGGUAGAGAAAUAAACUGAAAAGAGUAUUGAAACUCUUCGAUC
RNAcentral lists this long non-coding RNA (441 nucleotides) under Elaeis guineensis (African oil palm). Its description in RNAcentral is "long non-coding RNA (EGUI_LNC038533)". Lineage: Eukaryota; Viridiplantae; Streptophyta; Magnoliopsida; Arecales; Arecaceae. The record is from RNAcentral.